GACGAACGCUGGCGGCGUGCUUAACACAUGCAAGUCGAGCGGAAAGGCCACUUCGGUGGUACUCGAGCGGCGAACGGGUGAGUAACACGUGAGUAAUCUGCCCCUGGCUUUGGGAUAGCCACCGGAAACGGUGAUUAAUACCGGAUACGACCACUUCUCGCAUGGGAUGGUGGUGGAAAGUUUUUUCGGCCAGGGAUGUGCUCGCGGCCUAUCAGCUUGAUGGUGAGGUAAUGGCUCACCAUGGCUUCGACGGGUAGCCGGCCUGGGAGGGUGACCGGACACACUGGGACUGAGACACGGCCCAGACUCCUACGGGAGGCAGCAGUGGGGAAUAUUGGGCAAUGGGCGGAAGCCUGAUCCAGCAACGCCGCGUGAGGGAUGACGGCCUUCGGGUUGUAAACCUCUUUCAGCAGGGACGAAGCGCAAGUGACGGUACCUGCAGAAGAAGCACCGGCCAACUACGUGCCAGCAGCCGCAGUAA
This 481-nucleotide ribosomal RNA is filed under the name uncultured bacterium. Its description in RNAcentral is "partial 16S ribosomal RNA". It matches the Rfam family "Bacterial small subunit ribosomal RNA", at positions 28 to 523 of the family's 1533-position model. The record is from RNAcentral.